Molecule: unclassified non-coding RNA, 242 nt
Filed under: uncultured Reticulascaceae
Lineage: Eukaryota; Fungi; Ascomycota; Sordariomycetes; Glomerellales
Description: sequence contains ITS2
Source: RNAcentral
AACGCACAUUGCGCCCGCUAGUAUUCUGGCGGGCAUGCCUGUUCGAGCGUCAUUUCAACCCUCAAGCUCUGCUUGGCGUUGGGACCCUACGUACGUAGGUCCUCAAAAUCAGUGGCGGACUCGCUGAAGCCUCCUUUGCGUAGUAACUCACCUCGCAUCGUGGCCCGGCGGGCUCCAGCCGUGAAACCCCCCAAUUUUUUAAGGUUGACCUCGGAUCAGGUAGGAAUACCCGCUGAACUUAA